AGAGAGUAACACUUAAUUAAAAUCUAUUUAUUACGGCGGCAUUUAAUCUAAUUAGAGGAACUUGUUAAAUAAUCGAUAAUCCACGAUAAAUUUUACUUAAAUUAAAAAUUUAUAUACCGCCAUCUACAAGAAUUUUUUAAAAUAUAUUAUUCACAAUAAUAACUAAAAAGUUAGGUCAAGGUGUAGUAAACAUUUAAGAACAUAAUGAGUUACUAUAAAUAAAAUUUAUGGAAAAAAUUUUAAUAAAUUUAUUAAAAAGGAUUUAACAAUAAUAUUAUAAUAAUAUUUUAUAAUGAAUAAGAUUAUAAAUGUGU
RNAcentral lists this ribosomal RNA (314 nucleotides) under Camillina calel. Its description in RNAcentral is "partial 12S ribosomal RNA". Lineage: Eukaryota; Metazoa; Arthropoda; Arachnida; Araneae; Gnaphosidae. The record is from RNAcentral.